Molecule: non-coding RNA, 123 nt
Filed under: Harpegnathos saltator (Jerdon's jumping ant)
Lineage: Eukaryota; Metazoa; Arthropoda; Insecta; Hymenoptera; Formicidae
Source: RNAcentral
CAGCCAGGUGUUGCGUGAGGAAAAAUGAAACUAUACCUAACCUAGGUUAUUCAGGAGCCCAAAGCCUUUGAGGGCUUCAUAAAAAAAAAGAAAAGGCUCGUUCCAGCGCAGCGCUAAUUUUGU